Molecule: long non-coding RNA, 419 nt
Filed under: Olea europaea subsp. europaea
Lineage: Eukaryota; Viridiplantae; Streptophyta; Magnoliopsida; Lamiales; Oleaceae
Source: RNAcentral
UCUUCCCAAAUGGAGGCUAUGUUUUGAUCUAAAUAUAGUAUAUGUUCUUUCCAACAUAAUUUAGCUUUUAUUUUAUUCUCUUUUAUUAUGUUUCAUGGUUGACAAGUUUGGUAGGAUUCAGACAACAGAAAUGCCAAGUCAUAAACACAUAAUAACUUCUUUUCAAACUUCGUUUAUUGAAAAAUUAGCAAGUUAUCUUUUAUUGUUCCUUGGAGGAGACUGGGAUUGCUCAAAUCAUCCCCCUUUCUCAAGUUAUUCUCCUUGAAUUUCCUAAAAGCUGAGACUCUGAGCAUGAAUUGAAGUAAACAUCCUUAUUUCACGCAUUUACCUGCAUCAAAUUUUUUGCAUUUAUUUACGUGGUAGAGUGGCUAGACAUCCGUGCACAUCAUACAAAAAGGCAUUCUCAUUCUUAAGGAAAG